UAAAAUAAUGAAAUCCUAUUGGUUGGUGAACCCAAGAAUGACUCCUUUUUUUAACCUUUUGAAAUCAACAAGAUCUCAAAUCUGAUUUUAUUCAAACUCACUUACUCUUAUGUCAUAACAUCUAUUCAUUAUUCAUUUUUGUUGCCACUUAUAGCUUCCCAAAAACUGAAUGGAUCAUCUGUAUCAACUGCAAGAACAAUGUUACCUUUUUCUUUACAUCCAUAAUCUAAUAGGAGGCUUAAAUACACAUUUUUAUGCUGGCAACCAUGAUGUCCCUUACUCCACGUGUUUUUUCUUUCUCUGCAGACUACUCCCACCAAUCUACUACUGGUCUAACUUCACUAGACCCUUCCUGAAGUGCUUUUGAAUCUAUGUUAGCCUAAUGAUCACAUGUACUUGGUUUGAUAUUGCCUGUUGCUCCAUGAUUAUUCAUUAAAGAACACAUCUCCAUUAAUUUAUUUUUAGCCUUGUAAACUACAAUUGGGGCUCGCCCUACAACCUAUUCGCCAAUUCGCUUCCAGCUGACAUAUGUCCCUUCAUAACUCAUUUGCAUACCUUUAACACAUCUUUUCGUCCGCUUUGAACUGGAAGCCGUUUCUGUAAAAGCAUGCCCAAAACUUUAUCAAAAUUUUCUUCAUUACUGGAAUAUGCUUGACAUCAUUCAGUCUUGUGAUGGUGCAAUCAUGCAUUCAAAAUUUUAUCUGUCUCACAUCCACGACAUGGAACAA
Molecule: long non-coding RNA, 728 nt
Filed under: Brassica napus (rape)
Lineage: Eukaryota; Viridiplantae; Streptophyta; Magnoliopsida; Brassicales; Brassicaceae
Description: long non-coding RNA (BNAP_LNC007979)
Source: RNAcentral